CGGGAUAACACCUGGAAACAGAUGCUAAUACCGGAUAACAACAGAUGAUGCCUAUCAACUGUUUAAAAGAUGGUUCUGCUAUCACUCUUGGAUGGACCUGCGGUGCAUUAGCUAGUUGGUAGGGUAACGGCCUACCAAGGCGAUGAUGCAUAGCCGAGUUGAGAGACUGAUCGGCCACAUUGGGACUGAGACACGGCCCAAACUCCUACGGGAGGCAGCAGC
RNAcentral lists this ribosomal RNA (222 nucleotides) under uncultured Lactobacillus sp. RNAcentral's name for it is "partial 16S ribosomal RNA". It matches the Rfam family "Bacterial small subunit ribosomal RNA", at positions 139 to 355 of the family's 1533-position model. Lineage: Bacteria; Bacillati; Bacillota; Bacilli; Lactobacillales; Lactobacillaceae. The record is from RNAcentral.